This 334-nucleotide ribosomal RNA is filed under the name uncultured bacterium. RNAcentral describes it as "bacterial SSU rRNA". It matches the Rfam family "Bacterial small subunit ribosomal RNA", at positions 568 to 898 of the family's 1533-position model. The record is from RNAcentral.
CUCGUAGGCUGGGUUGCGCGUCGUGGAGUAAAUUUCUCUGCUCAACGGAGAAAUCAUCUGCGAUACGGCAACUCUUGAGGACAGGAGAGGAAAGCGGAAUUCCGAGUGUAGCGGUGAAAUGCGUAGAUAUUCGGAGGAACACCAGUGGCGAAGGCGGCUUUCUGGCCUGAUUCUGACGCUGAGGAGCGAAAGCAAGGGUAGCGAACGGGAUUAGAUACCCCGGUAGUCCUUGUGCUGUAAACGAUGGAUACUAGGUGUAGGAGGUAUCAAACCCUUCUGUGCCGGCGCUAACGCAUUAAGUAUCCCGCCUGGGAAGUACGGCCGCAAGGUUGAA